UAUGUCCAGGGGCAAACUUCACCGAAAGGGAGGGACGCAAAGCCACGGGCCUACAGUGGGUAACCGCUAAGGUAGCCGGGCUGCGACA
Molecule: non-coding RNA, 88 nt
Filed under: Desulfotomaculum sp.
Lineage: Bacteria; Bacillati; Bacillota; Clostridia; Eubacteriales; Desulfotomaculaceae
Also listed under: 1 other name
Description: c-di-GMP sequence
Rfam family: c-di-GMP-I riboswitch aptamer
About the family: GEMM was predicted in a large-scale screen for bacterial structured RNA regulatory elements. Genes associated with GEMM are involved in a diverse array of functions, including chemotaxis regulation, signal transduction, secretion and chitin.
Source: RNAcentral